GAUGAACGCUAGCGGCAGGCUUAACACAUGCAAGUCGAGGGGUAUGCUGAUUUAUCGGCAGAGACCGGCGCACGGGUGCGUAACGCGUAUGCAAUCUACCUUUCACAGAGGGAUAGCCCAGAGAAAUUUGGAUUAAUACCUCAUAGUAUAGGCAGUUUCGGCAUGAAACCACUAUUAAAGUUCCAACGGUGAAAGAUGAGCAUGCGUCCCAUUAGCUAGAUGGUAAGGUAACGGCUUACCAUGGCUACGAUGGGUAGGGGUCCUGAGAGGGGAGAUCCCCCCA
RNAcentral lists this ribosomal RNA (283 nucleotides) under uncultured bacterium. RNAcentral describes it as "partial 16S ribosomal RNA". It matches the Rfam family "Bacterial small subunit ribosomal RNA", at positions 28 to 312 of the family's 1533-position model. The record is from RNAcentral.